UACGUAGGGGGCAAGCGUUAUCCGGAUUUACUGGGUGUAAAGGGAGCGUAGACGGUAAAGCAAGUCUGAAGUGAAAGCCCGCGGCUCAACUGCGGGACUGCUUUGGAAACUGUUUAACUGGAGUGUCGGAGAGGUAAGUGGAAUUCCUAGUGUAGCGGUGAAAUGCGUAGAUAUUAGGAGGAACACCAGUGGCGAAGGCGACUUACUGGACGAUAACUGACGUUGAGGCUCGAAAGCGUGGGGAGCAAACAGGAUUAGAUACC
This 263-nucleotide ribosomal RNA is filed under the name uncultured bacterium. Its description in RNAcentral is "partial 16S ribosomal RNA". It matches the Rfam family "Bacterial small subunit ribosomal RNA", at positions 524 to 786 of the family's 1533-position model. The record is from RNAcentral.